Molecule: ribosomal RNA, 752 nt
Filed under: uncultured bacterium
Lineage: Bacteria
Description: bacterial SSU rRNA
Rfam family: Bacterial small subunit ribosomal RNA
Source: RNAcentral
AGAGUUUGAUCCUGGCUCAGAACGAACGCUGGCGGCAUGCCUAACGCAUGCAAGUCGAACGGGAUCCAGACUUCGGUCUGGUGAGAGUGGCGGACGGGUGAGUAACGCGUGGGAACCUGCCCAAUGGUCUGGGAUAACCGCGGGAAACUGCGGCUAAUACCGGAUAAGCCCGAGAGGGGAAAGAUUUAUCGCCGAUGGAGGGGCCCGCGUCCGAUUAGGUAGUUGGUGAGGUAACGGCUCACCAAGCCUACGAUCGGUAGCUGGUCUGAGAGGAUGAUCAGCCACACUGGGACUGAGAUACGGCCCAGACUCCUACGGGAGGCAGCAGUGGGGAAUAUUGGACAAUGGGGGCAACCCUGAUCCAGCAAUGCCGCGUGAGUGAUGAAGGCCUUAGGGUUGUAAAGCUCUUUUACCGGGGACGAUGAUGACGGUACCCGGAGAAUAAGCCCCGGCUAACUUCGUGCCAGCAGCCGCGGUAAUACGAAGGGGGCGAGCGUUGUUCGGAAUUACUGGGCGUAAAGGGCGCGUAGGCGGCGACCCAAGUCAGAUGUGAAAGUCCUGGGCUUAACCUGGGGACUGCAUUUGAUACUGGGUUGCUUGAAUUCGGGAGAGGAUAGCGGAAUUCCCAGUGUAGAGGUGAAAUUCGUAGAUAUUGGGAAGAACACCGGUGGCGAAGGCGGCUAUCUGGACCGACAUUGACGCUGAGGCGCGAAAGCGUGGGGAGCAAACAGGAUUAGAUACCCCCGUAGUCC